RNAcentral lists this ribosomal RNA (215 nucleotides) under uncultured bacterium. RNAcentral describes it as "partial 16S ribosomal RNA". It matches the Rfam family "Bacterial small subunit ribosomal RNA", at positions 116 to 334 of the family's 1533-position model. The record is from RNAcentral.
UAUCGGAACGUGCCCAGUCGUGGGGGAUAACUGCUCGAAAGAGCAGCUAAUACCGCAUACGACCUGAGGGUGAAAGCGGGGGAUCGCAAGACCUCGCGCGAUUGGAGCGGCCGAUAUCAGAUUAGGUAGUUGGUGAGGUAAAGGCUCACCAAGCCGACGAUCUGCAGCUGGUCUGAGAGGACGACCAGCCACACUGGGACUGAGACACGGCCCAG